Schizosaccharomyces pombe (fission yeast) is the source of this 1377-nucleotide non-coding RNA. Lineage: Eukaryota; Fungi; Ascomycota; Schizosaccharomycetes; Schizosaccharomycetales; Schizosaccharomycetaceae. The record is from the annotation of a GenBank genome assembly.
GACGAAUAAUGACUAUUGAAGUAAAUUUAGCACUUUUCAAAGAAAGAAUCAUUCAAACGGAUUUUUAUCCAACACAUUACUGCUGGUUGAGAACUUUUUAGCCCAUUUGUUGUUAUUAGUUGAUUCUUCUUCCGCUUUUCGUUUAAGGUACAAAGCACUAGACUUGUUUCGCAGAGGAUUCAUGCAGAAAUAUAGCUUUCUGCCGUAAUCUUGUGCCUUUUUUUUCUCAAUCUUAAAUUUUUUUGUAGCUUUCAAAUUGGCAGAAAUCGAAAUUAUCAAAGGUUGCAGUUCUGGAAUUUUUUUUGCUUCUAUAUAUUGUAAACAAAUAGUUGGAUUCGUAUGAUAAAUAGCACCCAAAGCAAUUAUGCUGGGUGAAUGUAAGAAAUAGAUGUCAGAAUGCAAUGUCUCAAUUAGGAAUUUUUUGGAAAGGUCAUGACAUUCGUAAAACUUUUCGACAGCAACUUUCGGAAGCACUGUUUGACAAUCUAAAAGGAAGCCUUGUAAAGGACGAAAUGGAAGCCAGACGUAAAGGUCCCAUUUUAAUGAUUGACAAACGUUAAAUUCGUAUUCAAGAACUUCUUCGGGAGUCGUCUUGGGCAUGUUUUUACAGAAUUGUUCAAUAGAGAUAUAAUGAUCGUUGCACUUGGUAGCUAAAAAUAAAGAAGUAAACCUAAUGUAAGAAAAACAAUGUUAGCUUAAUGGACUCGGCGACUUAAACAUACGAAAUAAUUUUUGGACUAUACUCCAUGACAGAGUUAAUUAGAUAAAAGCGUUUAAAAAAAAGAAUGGCCGUGGACUAAAAUUUUGUGAGUAAAGUCGGAAUGUUUAUAUUGAGUACAGUUUCCAAGUAAUUGAAGGAAAUCCGACCAUGUCUAAACAUACGCGAAUAUGAGUUGGUAAGGAAAGAGCGGAAGAAAGUGCGUUCAACUGGAAACUAUAAUAAUUUACAAGUUCAAGUUCUUCUUCAACGGUAAGAGUUGGAGGCAAAACUUCUAAGGAUGCUUCCUUGUUUUGUAAAGACAACUCUUCCAGCAUUCGCUCACGUACAAUAUUCGUAAAUUUUUCAUUUACUUUAGCACGUGUUUUUGAAAGGUCUUCUUCCGUAAAAAUCCAAUCUCUGUAAUGCGUGGAAUCACGAAAUUUAUCGGCAGACAUGUGAAUAAUGUAAGUAGAAUUUACAGCACUCUAUCAAUUGAGGGUUAUGCAAAAAUUUAAAUACUUCUCUAUAAAGCCAGUAAAAUAAUAAUAUUUUUGAAAUUUGGAUACUUCUCUGCUAUGAAAAACCCAAAUCGCUCGUUCGCUGAGACUUUGUCGAGGACAUCAGAUACCCUGGAUGUGGAGAAGAGAGUUUUUGCAAUUAAUGUGCGAUGUGCAAAA